UACAGAGGGUGCGAGCGUUAAUCGGAAUGACUGGGCGUAAAGGGUGCGUAGGCGGUUAGAUUAGUUGGGUGUGAAAGUCCUGGGCUUAACUUAGGGAUUGCGCUUGAUACUAUUUAGCUAGAGUAUUGUAGAGGAAGGUGGAAUUUCCGGUGUAGCGGUGAAAUGCGUAGGUAUCGGAAGGAAUAUCGGUGGCGAAAGCGGCGCACUGGACCACAACUGACGCUGAGGCGCGAAAGCUAGGGGAG
RNAcentral lists this ribosomal RNA (245 nucleotides) under uncultured bacterium. RNAcentral's name for it is "partial 16S ribosomal RNA". It matches the Rfam family "Bacterial small subunit ribosomal RNA", at positions 524 to 768 of the family's 1533-position model. The record is from RNAcentral.